GAUAUGUAAUGUGAAUUGCAGAAUUCAGUGAAUCAUCGAAUCUUUGAACGCACCUUGCGCCCUUUGGUAUUCCGAAGGCAUGCCUGUUUGAGUGUCAUUAAAUUCUCAACUUCAAAUUUCUAUUUUGAAGCUUGGAUGUUGGAGGCUUUGCAGGCAUUUAUUUGCCAGCUCCUCUUAAAUGCAUUAGCAGAACUUGUAUGUUCGGCUCUGGUUUGAUAAUACUAUCUAUGCCAUUGCUGAAAGGUCAUUGUUCAGCUUCUAAUGGUCCAUUGCAUUGGACUGUCUCUUUGGAGGCAUAACCUUUUUGACUUGACCUCAAAUCAGGUAGGACUACCCGCUGAACUUAAGCAUAUCAAUAAGCGGAGGAAAAGAAACUAACAAGGAUUCCCUUAGUAACUGCGAGUGAAGAGGGAAGAGCUCAAAUUUGAAAUCUGGCGGUCCUUUGGCUGUCCGAGUUGUAGUUUAGAGAAGUGCUAUCCGCGCUGGCCUGUGCAUAAGUUUCUUGGAAAAGAACAUCAUAGAGGGUGACAAUCCCGUCUUUGGCACGGAUCCCAGGGCUUUUGUGAUGCGCUCUCGACGAGUCGAGUUGUUUGGGAAUGCAGCUCUAAAUGGGUGGUAAAUUCCAUCUAAAGCUAAAUAUUGGCGAGAGACCGAUAGCGAACAAGUACCGUGAGGGAAAGAUGAAAAGAACUUUGAAAAGAGAGUUAAACAGUACGUGAAAUUGUUGAAAGGGAAACGCUUGAAGUCAGUCGUGUCCUCUAGGGAUCAAGUCAGCUCUGGCUGGCCGUACUUUCUAGUUGGAUGGGUCAGCAUCAAUUUUGAUCGCUGGAUAAAGGCCUUGGGAAUGUGGCAUCUUCGGAUGUGUUAUAGACCAUGGUUCUGAUACAGCGGUUGGGAUUGAGGAACUCAGCGCGCCUUCGUGGUUGCGUUCAGGAUGCUGGCAUAAUGGCUUUAAUCGACCCGUCUUGAAACACGGACCAAGGAGUCUAACAUGCCUGCGAGUAUUUGGGUGGAAACCCAUGUGCGCAAUGAAAGUGAAAGUUGAGAUCUCUGUCAUGGAGAGCAUCGACGCCCGGACCUGACCUUCUGUGACGGAUCUGCGGUAGAGCAUGCAUGUUGGGACCCGAAAGAUGGUGAACUAUGCCUGAAUAGGGUGAAGCCAGAGGAAACUCUGGUGGAAGCUCGUAGCGAUUCUGACGUGCAAAUCGAUCGUCGAAUUUGGGUAUAGGGGCGAAAGACUAAUCGAACCAUUUUGCUACUUGGUGGUUAAGAGGCACCUGAAAGGGUCAGCCUAGUGAGCAGUUGAGGCUCGCGACACUGUCAAAUUGCGGGGACGUCCUAAAGCCUUCACUACUAAGCCAAUGUUGAAAAGCAUUGGUGGCCGAGUUAAUAGCCCUGGGUAUAGUAAAAAUGUGAAGGAUAUUACAAUGGAUAAUCCGCAGCCAAGUCCUAAGGGCGCAAGCCUAUGGAUGCAGUUCACAGACUAAAUGGCAGUGGGUGUGGCAUUUAGUGCCAUGCUUAAGAUAUAGUCGGUCCUACCGUGAAAGCGGUCUGGCAGAUGAGGACUUUCAUCUCUCAAUAAUAUUUGAUGCAAGUCCAGAGCUGCUGGGAGGCUUUGAAAGCCUUUGGAUAUAAUGCUAGUAGCUGGGUUCCCGCCGAAGUUUUYCUCWGGRUAGCAGAAACUCUGUAUCAGAUUUWUGUGGU
RNAcentral lists this ribosomal RNA (1704 nucleotides) under Clavulinopsis laeticolor. Its description in RNAcentral is "Ramariopsis laeticolor eukaryotic LSU rRNA". The stretch from base 311 to 1704 matches the Rfam family "Eukaryotic large subunit ribosomal RNA", at positions 1 to 1121 of the family's 3401-position model. The record is from RNAcentral. Lineage: Eukaryota; Fungi; Basidiomycota; Agaricomycetes; Agaricales; Clavariaceae.